This 499-nucleotide ribosomal RNA is filed under the name uncultured bacterium. RNAcentral describes it as "partial 16S ribosomal RNA". It matches the Rfam family "Bacterial small subunit ribosomal RNA", at positions 30 to 523 of the family's 1533-position model. The record is from RNAcentral.
AUUGAACGCUGGCGGUAUGCUUAACACAUGGAAGUCGAACGAUGAGAAAGAGCUUGCUCUUUCGAUUAGUGGCGGACGGGUGCGUAACGCGUAGGAAUCUACCUAUUAGUGGGGGACAACUUAGGGAAACUUAAGCUAAUACCGCAUACGCCCUACGGGGGAAAGAAGGGGAUCGCAAGACCUUUUGCUAAUAGAUGAGCCUGCGUAGGAUUAGCUAGUUGGUGGGGUAAAAGCUCACCAAGGCGACGAUCCUUAACUGGUUUGAGAGAAUGAUCAGUCACACUGGAACUGAGACACGGUCCAGACUCCUACGGGAGGCAGCAGUGGGGAAUAUUGGGCAAUGGGCGAAAGCCUGAUCCAGCAAUACCGCGUGUGUGAAGAAGGCCUUAGGGUUGUAAAGCGCUUUCAAUUGGAAGGAAAACCUCGAAGCUAAUACCUUCGAGUUUGACAUUACCUUUAGAAGAAGCACCGGCUAACUCCGUGCCAGCCGCCGCAGUAA